RNAcentral lists this microRNA precursor (60 nucleotides) under Homo sapiens (human). RNAcentral describes it as "Hsa-Mir-944_pre stem-loop". The record is from RNAcentral. Lineage: Eukaryota; Metazoa; Chordata; Mammalia; Primates; Hominidae.
CAUCUGAUAUACAAUAUUUUCUUAAAUUGUAUAAAGAGAAAUUAUUGUACAUCGGAUGAG